Molecule: transfer RNA, 68 nt
Filed under: Martes zibellina (sable)
Lineage: Eukaryota; Metazoa; Chordata; Mammalia; Carnivora; Mustelidae
Description: tRNA-Val
Rfam family: tRNA
About the family: Transfer RNA (tRNA) molecules are approximately 80 nucleotides in length. Their secondary structure includes four short double-helical elements and three loops (D, anti-codon, and T loops).
Source: RNAcentral
CAAAGUGUAGCUUAACCAAAGCACCUGGCUUACACCCAGAAGAUUUUCAUACAAUAUGACCACUUUGA